GUGUGGUGGAAAGUUUUUCGGUGUGGGAUGGGCCCGCGGCCUAUCAGCUUGUUGGUGGGGUAAUGGCCUACCAAGGCGGCGACGGGUAGCCGGCCUGAGAGGGUGGACGGCCACAUUGGGACUGAGACACGGCCCAGACUCCUAGCGGGAGGCAGCAGUGGGGAAUAUUGCACAAAAGGCGGAAGCCUGAUGCAGCGACGCCGCGUGGGGGAUUAUAGGGUUCGGGUUGUAAACUCCUUUCACCAUCGACGAAGG
RNAcentral lists this ribosomal RNA (255 nucleotides) under uncultured bacterium. Its description in RNAcentral is "partial 16S ribosomal RNA". It matches the Rfam family "Bacterial small subunit ribosomal RNA", at positions 198 to 451 of the family's 1533-position model. The record is from RNAcentral.